Long non-coding RNA from Mugil cephalus (flathead mullet), 2601 nucleotides. RefSeq lists it as uncharacterized. Lineage: Eukaryota; Metazoa; Chordata; Actinopteri; Mugiliformes; Mugilidae. The record is from RefSeq and is a predicted model, not a curated record. The transcript has 2 exons.
AGAAAGACUGACUUGCUGGUGCAUAUGGGAGUGAGUGAGUGGCGAUCUGGCAUUAAUGACAAGUGUACAGCUCUGUGGCAGAAGCAUUGGGAGAGUGAGGAGAAAGCACGCCACUUUUUGCCACAGCAUAAAGUCUAAAAAGUGCUAUCUUGGAAAAGGAGGGAGACAAACCAUAGGCUAAUUAUGACAGGACUCGGGUUUAGGACAUUGUGAUUUGCCGUGAGAUCGGUCAAAGAUGGGAAAACAUGAGGAUGGGCUCUGCGGGCUCUGCGGGAUCUGCAGGACAGUGUAACAUGUCUUAAUGGAGUGUGUCUUAUAUAAGGAGCAAAGAGGGCAGUUGUUCGCUGUGGUAUUGGACUCUGGAAUAAACAAUUUAUCUCCGAAGCACCUUUUAAAGUCGUCGGAAAACCAGUCCCAAUUUAUCAACGCAGUCCUGGGUUUUUACAGGAAAUAUCUCCUUUUGAUGCACUAUCACGACUAACCAGUGAGAGGCAGCAACAUGCCGCAAGGCAUCUAGCCUGCCGGAAAAGAAGGAGAAGAAGCAUAUGGGUAUUUAUGGAAACCCUAAAGGGUCUUAGGCGAACCACUUCCUGAAUUAGUCACGUGGUAUCAGCCGGGCAGCGAGGCUUCGGACUUCAUCAUUUUCAGCUCCUCCCCUAAAUGAAGCAAGCCUCGAUACGCCCAUCGCUGAAACGCCCCCUCCCCUACUCGGCACACGCUUCAAAGCCUCGACACGGAACGUUACAUCACUACAAAUAACCAUCCCGUAAGUCACCCACAUCUUAGCUUCUUAUAUUCUAAUUCUUGUAUUAUUUAUUUAUUUCGUAAGUGGCCAUGGUCUAAGCGGGAUAAUGCCCGACAAGGUGUCCAUUAUCAGAAAUGAAUGGACGACGCGGAGCUUUCGCAAAGUCCAUUCAUUUCAGAUAAUGGACACUGUUGGGUUUUAAAGGGUUUAAUAAGGCUGUAUAUAACCUUGGGAAGAAUCAGGAAGAGUGUUACUUCUGUGAGUACGAAUGCUUGUUUGUCUCUGUGUUAGCCCUGCGCAGGGCCGUAUGCAGGGCCCAAGAAAUACUGAGGUCAUGAAUCAGAACUUCUAGGUGGGUACGGUUCGUAUUUUUAAUUACAUUAUUUAAAUCUGGCUUUUUUUUUCUUAGUCUUAAGGAGCAAAAACAUUAUUUAUUUUUGUAGGACCACUAUGGUGACUCAUUAAGUAAGGGCAAGUUACCACCGAAAAUGAUUUAUUAUUAUUAUUUUUGAAAAUUCGAUCUGCUCUGUGCCGUGUUGCUGCGUUGUGCUAGUUGUGUAUCCGGCGCAGAAAUACAUAACAGGUUCAGCAUCCGACAUUGAGAAAUCAACACUGAAUGAACGUUUCAUUUUCAAUCGAAGACGUUGCUGACAUAUCAAUCGCAAAAUGAAUGUUGAACUGAUGGAAAUUAAUGACCGCUACUGACGGAGUUAAUCAAAAUUACACUUUGAUUCGAUGUUUCCUAGAAUAGUACGCUGGGCUGCAAUAAAAAUAUUUCCACAUGAAAAUGAAAAUGUUUCUCACAGUCAUUUACCACCUACAUGUUUAGCUUCAUGUGCUCCUCUUCCAGUGACUGGUGUGACUGACCGACUCACUAACGGUACUGGUAACAACAUCAGCGUCCAACUUUAGUGUGGUACUUACCAUAGCGACAGUGCGUGUUGUUGAUGACGCGUAGCACGUAUGCCCAACUCUUGGCUCUUCAAAUAUAAAAUCACCUUACGGUUUUGUGGGAGACCAAGAUCAUCGUCCUACAGUCAUUUUCACGUGUAAUUUAUUUUAAGUUCAUAUACCACAAUUUAAGCAAAAAAAAAAAAAGAAGAAAAAGAAAAAAAUACCGAGGACACGACCUCGGUGUCCUCAAGGGUAGUUAUGGCCUUGUUAUAGUUAUAUAUUUACAUUUUGCUUGAAGCUACACUUGUUCCUUUACAUUUAAAUAAAAUUGCAGCAUGAUUGUACAUCAAAUAAAAAACUCAAAGGAAAUACAGAUCAUGAAUAUCUUCUUAACAUUUCAGCCACACACUGUUUAGUUUUUGUAGGUUUAUAUAAUUUUUUGGUUCAUUGAUAUGUUUCUGUAUAGAUCCAAUGCUGUACGAGCUUUCAGGAGUGACUUUUGACCACGUAUGAAGUAUGGUAGAUUUAGGGAUGAAAAUGUCUUGAAAUGAACUUCAUGGAAGUUUGAAAAAAAAAAUUCAAACUUCAAGUGUUAAGAUAAGCCUUUAUUCAUCCCACAGUGAUUAAAUUCUUGCAGCAGAGACAUUCAGCAAUCACACAGAAGGUGCACACAGUGCACAUAUGGGUGAUAUUGGGCUGGUAAGGAGGGUGUCCCAUUGUUCAAGUAUUAUCACUAUUUCAAUAUAUGCUGAUAGGGACUAUAUGUGGCUUAAAGUCUUUGUUAUUCUUUAGUUUCUCAAUUGUUUUCAUUUUGUCUCUGCGAUUAAUAAUAUAUUACAGUUUUCUUUUUUUCAGACACUGAUUUCUUAAAUAGUAAGAUGUUAGAAGUGUCACCAAUGGAAAGGUGAUGUGGUGUUAUCAGCUGAUGUCUAAGUAUGUUGCAAUAAACUCUGAAUUCACAA